UCCGGUAUGGUGUAGCUGGCUAACACGCUACCAGUACAAUUACCCCAGAGCCUGGGAGUGCGACGGUAGAGACCCGGGUUCGAAUCCCGUGUACCGGAA
RNAcentral lists this transfer RNA (99 nucleotides) under Mytilinidion resinicola. Its description in RNAcentral is "tRNA-Tyr". It matches the Rfam family "tRNA". From Rfam's summary of the family: Transfer RNA (tRNA) molecules are approximately 80 nucleotides in length. Their secondary structure includes four short double-helical elements and three loops (D, anti-codon, and T loops). Further hydrogen bonds mediate the characteristic L-shaped molecular structure. tRNAs have two regions of fundamental functional importance: the anti-codon, which is responsible for specific mRNA codon recognition, and the 3' end, to which the tRNAs corresponding amino acid is attached (by aminoacyl-tRNA synthetases). tRNAs cope with the degeneracy of the genetic code in two manners: having more than one tRNA (with a specific anti-codon) for a particular amino acid; and 'wobble' base-pairing, i.e. permitting non-standard base-pairing at the 3rd anti-codon position. The record is from RNAcentral. Lineage: Eukaryota; Fungi; Ascomycota; Dothideomycetes; Mytilinidiales; Mytilinidiaceae.